This 274-nucleotide ribosomal RNA is filed under the name uncultured bacterium. RNAcentral describes it as "partial 16S ribosomal RNA". It matches the Rfam family "Bacterial small subunit ribosomal RNA", at positions 523 to 796 of the family's 1533-position model. The record is from RNAcentral.
AUACGGGGGAUGCAAGCGUUAUUCGGAAUCAUUGGGCGUAAAGGGCACGCAGGCGGUUCUGUCAGUCAGAUGUGAAAGCCCGGGGCUUAACCCCGGACGUGCAUUUGAAACAGCAGGACUUGAGUAUGGUAGAGGAAAGCGGAAUUCCUGGUGUAGAGGUGAAAUUCGUAGAUAUCAGGAGGAACACCGGUGGCGAAGGCGGCUUUCUGGACCAAAACUGACGCUGAGGUGCGAAGGCGUGGGUAGCGAACAGGAUUAGAAACCCUAGUAGUCC